Molecule: ribosomal RNA, 439 nt
Filed under: uncultured bacterium
Lineage: Bacteria
Description: partial 16S ribosomal RNA
Rfam family: Bacterial small subunit ribosomal RNA
Source: RNAcentral
CCUACGGGUGGCAGCAGUGGGGAAUAUUGCACAAUGGGCGAAAGCCUGAUGCAGCAACGCCGCGUGAGCGAUGAAGGCCUUCGGGUCGUAAACUCCUGUCCUCAAGGAAGAUAAUGACGGUAUCUGAGGAGGAAGCCCCGGCUAACUACGUGCCAGCAGCCGCGGUAAUACGUAGGGGGCAAGCGUUAUCCGGAAUCACUGGGCGUAAGGGGUGCGCAGGUGGUUUGUUAAGUCAGAGGUAAAAGGCUAAGGCUAAACCGUAGUAAGCCUUUGAAACUGGGAAACUUGAGUGCAGGAGAGGUGAGUGGAAUUCCUAGUGUAGCGGUGAAAUGCGUAGAUAUUAAGAGGAACACUAGUUGCGAAGGCGGCUCUCUGGACUGUAACUGACACUGAGGCACGAAAGCGUGGGGAGCAAACAGGAUUAGAUACCCCGGUAGUC